CGAGGGUGAGGUCCAAGGAUGGGGGCUUGCCUGCAGCCACAGAGCUUUUCUGCAUGAACCUGGAAACAGAAAGGCCCUGUGAAGCCCCCAGGCAGAGGGAGAGGCUCCAGAGAAGGCUCCCACAGACCUGGAGAGCCCAAACAAGUCCACAGGCAUGAAAUUGGCAAGCCAUGGGGACAUGUAGUAACAACUCUGCUCUUUAGAUGAUGGUAAGACCAGAGCUCACGGUCACCACUAUCACCAUUUCAACCCACCCCAGGCCAUCUGUUGCCCAUUCUCUCUCACAGUCCUCCAUCACAGCCUCUGGGGACAACGGCUCCAUCCCUCCUGGGUGCAGAAGGAGGAGGCCACUGGAGCUAGUGGCUGGUGUGGACUGAGUGGGUUGACCAAUUUGGUAUUCUGUGUGGCCCAACCAUUUCUAGGAACACCUGUCCAUCACCUCCUGGCUAGAUGGCACAAGAAGGCUACAGGGAAUGCUAGUGUCAUGGAGAAAUCUGCCCCAUAAGCCACGGUGCCAGCGCAAAACCCUUAGGAAAUGACUUCCUGACUGCAGUAUUCAGUAGAACCUGUGGUUUUAUUUUGAGAUAUCAUCAGGGUGAGUUGCACCAUUUGUACUCCAUUCUCACUGCCCCCUGGCUAUGUGGGACAAGUUCAGAAGGUGACAUGCUGCCAGGGGAAGAACUCUGAGUGUUGCUUUAGGGCUUAUAGGAAGAAAACACUCUCUGUAUGUCUCUAGUUUAGACUCAAAAGAUACGCAAGCGUCAAAUAUGGAAAAGAAACAGCUUACUCAAAGAGACUGUGCAUAACUGAACAACAGAAUAAAAAAUCUAAUUUCCUUUUUUACCUGCAAAAAUGAAAGAAAAAGAAAACAAACACCACCCCUCAUUGAAAAGCCCUGUGCAGACUUUUGGCUCCUUCCGGCUACGGCGGGGAAAGCGCCUACUAUGCCCUUGGUGUUCCCAGUGUCAUGGUCUGUCCUCAAAGCUCAGUGCUUGUUCCUGCAGCCACCAAGGCAGGCAGUACCGACAAAAGCAAUAAGUAUCUGUGUGCAUCCUGAGCGGUUCCCUGUAUUUCUUGGUGUUGCUGUCCUGUUCUAGUGUGAUGACCUGGCAUGUCUCCUGCCUGCUUGUAGUCCAAUGGCACAGUGUUGUUGGCAACUGCUUGGUGACACUGGGUUGAAGCACUGGUUAACACAGCAUGAUGGUGUUGACUCGUCUGUCAGAAAACACGCCAUGUUAUGACUGGUCUGCCUGUGUGUGGUCCGGAGAGCCAUGUUGCCCUCUGAAUCUGACAUUGAUGGGUGAGUCAUAAGUCCUGCCUGUCCUCAAGACAAUGACAGUGACAGGCAUGUCUUCUUGAUGGAGCAUAGACAUGGGGUUGGUUCACCUGUCUUUAGGAUAAUUUGUUGCUGCUCUACCCUAUAGUACAACGUCACGACCCACCCAUCAGUUCGCGAUUAUCCCAGAGUUGUUCUGCCCACCCUUCACUCACUGGCAUGGGG
This 1501-nucleotide long non-coding RNA is filed under the name Castor canadensis (American beaver). Its description in RNAcentral is "lncRNA (ENSCCNG00000012952.1)". The record is from RNAcentral. Lineage: Eukaryota; Metazoa; Chordata; Mammalia; Rodentia; Castoridae.